AGUGAACGCUGGCGGUAGGCCUAACACAUGCAAGUCGAACGGCAGCACAGUAAGAGCUUGCUCUUACGGGUGGCGAGUGGCGGACGGGUGAGGAAUACAUCGGAAUCUACUUUUUCGUGGGGGAUAACGUAGGGAAACUUACGCUAAUACCGCAUACGACCUACGGGUGAAAGCAGGGGCUCUUCGGACCUUGCGCGAUUGAAUGAGCCGAUGUCGGAUUAGCUAGUUGGCGGGGUAAAGGCCCACCAAGGCGACGAUCCGUAGCUGGUCUGAGAGGAUGAUCAGCCACACUGGAACUGAGACACGGUCCAGACUCCUACGGGAGGCAGCAGUGGGGAAUAUUGGACAAUGGGCGCAAGCCUGCUCCAGCCCUACCGCGUGGGUGAAGAAGGCCUUCGGGUUGUAAAGCCCUUUUGUUGGGAAAGAAAAGCAGCAGGUUAAUACCCCGCUGUUCUGACGGUACCCAAAGAAUAAGCACCGGCUAACUUCGUG
RNAcentral lists this ribosomal RNA (492 nucleotides) under uncultured bacterium. RNAcentral's name for it is "partial 16S ribosomal RNA". It matches the Rfam family "Bacterial small subunit ribosomal RNA", at positions 29 to 507 of the family's 1533-position model. The record is from RNAcentral.